UUAAAAGUGUUUUAAAAGAUUUA
This 23-nucleotide non-coding RNA is filed under the name Arabidopsis thaliana (thale cress). The record is from RNAcentral. Lineage: Eukaryota; Viridiplantae; Streptophyta; Magnoliopsida; Brassicales; Brassicaceae.